UUUAUUAGACCAAAACCAAUCGGACCCCGGUCCGUGUAUGGUGAAUCUGAAUAACUUUGCUGAUCGCAUGGUCCUCGCACCGGCGACGCGUCUUUCAAGUGUCUGGCUUAUCAACUGUCGACGGUAGUUUAUACGACUACCGUGGUUGUAACGGGUAACGGAGAAUAAGGGUUCGACUCCGGAGAGGGAGCCCGAGAAAUGGCUACCACAUCCAAGGAAGGCAGCAGGCGCGCAAAUUACCCACUCUCAGCUAGAGGAGGUAGUGACGAAAAAUAACGAUGCAGGACUCAUAAUGAGGCUCUGCAAUUGGAAUGAGAACAAUCUAAAUCCUUUAACGAGGACCGAUUGGAGGGCAAGUCUGGUGCCAGCAGCCGCGGUAAUUCCAGCUCCAAUAGCGUAUAUUAAAGUUGUUGCAGUUAAAAAGCUCGUAGUUUGAUUUCUGGACGGGCGCCAACACCCGCUUGUUUAGUGUGGAGGCGGCGCCCGCCCAUCCUUCUGUUAACGCCACCGGCAUUCAUUUGCUGGCGGCGGGCUCAGAUAUUUUACCUUGAGAAAAUUAGAGUGUUUUCAGGCAGG
This 576-nucleotide ribosomal RNA is filed under the name uncultured eukaryote. RNAcentral's name for it is "bacterial SSU rRNA". It matches the Rfam family "Eukaryotic small subunit ribosomal RNA", at positions 203 to 784 of the family's 1831-position model. The record is from RNAcentral.